This 334-nucleotide non-coding RNA is filed under the name Oceanococcus atlanticus. RNAcentral describes it as "cspA thermoregulator". It matches the Rfam family "cspA thermoregulator", at positions 92 to 428 of the family's 428-position model. Lineage: Bacteria; Pseudomonadati; Pseudomonadota; Gammaproteobacteria; Chromatiales; Oceanococcaceae. The record is from Rfam by way of RNAcentral.
UGAGAGGCGCUAUGCGUUUCUUUAACGAAGGCCGGGUGGCCUUCGUAAUUUUUCGUUUUUAUUUGGAAGUUUCAAUGUCUGAAGUAGCGACCGGUACGGUCAAAUGGUUCAAUGAAGCCAAAGGUUUCGGGUUCAUCACGCCAGCUAACGGUGGUGAAGAUCUGUUCGCCCAUUACCGUGCCAUCGAAGGGGGCGGUUUCCGUACCCUGAAAGAAGGCCAGCAAGUGCAGUUCGAAGUCAAAGAAGGUCCCAAGGGCCUGCAGGCUGCUGCAAUCCGCCCGCUGUAAAGCGCGCCAAGAAUAUUCGAAGGCCAGCAGAUUGCUGGCCUUUUUUG